Long non-coding RNA from Alexandromys fortis (reed vole), 1894 nucleotides. RefSeq lists it as uncharacterized. The record is from RefSeq and is a predicted model, not a curated record. Lineage: Eukaryota; Metazoa; Chordata; Mammalia; Rodentia; Cricetidae. The transcript has 4 exons.
UGUAGGCCUUUUCCUACGCUGGGAAGUUAGGAUUUACUGUGGGUCCCAAGUUUGCGCCCCAUCGGACUUACGUAGAAAAUGAAGUAAACGUUAGAGAAAGAGAGUUUUUAGCCAUAGAGUGUUAAAACAUAAAAGCAAAUAUUUUUUUUUUUUCGAGACAGGGUAUCUCUUGUAGCUUUGGAGCCUACCCUAAAACUAGCUCUUGUAGACCAGGCUGGCCUCGAACUCACAGAGAUCCGCCUGCCUCUGCCUCCCGAGUGCUGGGCUUAAGGGCGUGCGCCACCACCGCCCGGCUUAAUUUUUAAAAUAUAUCCAAGUUGCUGGCUUUAACAGCAUCUUUCCAGAAAAUUGGCUUUUGAGAUUAUUUCGGACAGAAAAUGAAAUUGAAUAUUGGCGGAAAACGUUACUUCAUUGAAGACUCAUUUCUUACCUGAAUACAUUGUAAAAAUAUCAGACCACUGAAGAGCCUGAAGUAAAAUUCUUGGUUGGAUGUGUAGCUCAAGGGACCAUUCCGUGCUCCUACGCAAAGGUUGGCAUUCAACACCAUUAUCCACACAGAGGGCUAGCGGCCAUGAUGAAAGAGUAGACGCAAUAGGCUGCAGACCGCUGGAGCAGCACAGGAGCGCUCACCGCUGGAGCCACAAAAGGAAGCUGACAGAGCUAACUUGAGCCUUCUCAUCCUCUUGAGCAAACCGAUGCUUGGCCAAGCUGGAUAUGGUGAUGCCCUUCAGCAAUCCCAGCACUCCAGAGACCAAGGGAGGAUUACUGCGGGUUCAAACCCAGCCUGGGCUACAUAAUGAGACCACAGCUCAAAAACAAAUAAAACUCCAUGAAAUCCCCUCCCACACACUGAAGUCACAGUUUAAAAAAAAAAGAAGCGAGUUCAUCAUUCAUCGGCAGGGCCUCACUGACCGGUGCUAUGGGGCAGCAGUCAAGGGAGAGAGAGUCAUAAUUGGUAAAAAUGCUGUGAAUAAAAGACUGAGUGCUUAGCCCUAAACAGGACAUCUCUUAUCAAGUGUCGUCUCUCACCGUGACCAAGGUUUGGGGACUAUCUCAGAGGCAGAGGCAGAAAGUGUGCAAGCCUGAGAAUGGAGACGAACAUGUGAGAUUGUGGCCUAGCUGUCACACUCCUGUGUGACACUCAUGUGAACCACACACGGUUGUGGUUCCCUGCAGAAGAUCAAGCUAGAUAGGGUUCCAUCAUAGAUGCGGCACAUGGUCUCCAGGCCCCAUCCCUUGUGAAGAGUGAAUGUGUUGUUGGCACAGGCAAUGUCAAGGAUGCUGAUGCUCUCAGGCCCACAGGAAUGGAAAGGCCUUCCCUGGUCCAAGUACUGAUGUCGACAGUGUAUGCAGAAAGUAUCAGCUACAGUUUCCUCCUAGAUGAUGGCGUCAUGACACCGCUUCCCUAUAGGAACCCUCUGCAUGGAGACCAGCUAGCCCACACCCUCCACCAGCUGUACAUAAUAAACCCGCCUCCACCUGCCUCCUCUUUGAACUCUGUGUAAAUGAUGUGCUGAGUUUCUGGCUGUGAGUGCCGCUCCAUCGCAGCACACAGCCCACUCAAUUCCUUUUCUGUACCGUAUAUCGACCAUUUCUUCAUUCUCUGUUACCCCAGCCAGGUCAGUCCUAAAGCCAUGCAGGUGUGGACGUCCUUUACUGAAGCACUAGAGGCAGUUGAUAGUUGCUGGGGGAGGGUGAAUCAAUUUCUCUCUCUCGUGGCCAUCAGUAGAAAUUAAAUUUCCUGUCCUGUGGAUAGUCUAUGCACAAAUGCGGAGAAUCAACUGGAUUUAGUGGUUUUAGAAACAUUUUAAGACAUGGAAUUCAGAGAAGGACCUGUUGAGAGGGAUGUGGAGAAAGUUGGAGGUGGGAAAAAAAAAUUCAAACAAAAAUUUCA